Girardinichthys multiradiatus is the source of this 1291-nucleotide long non-coding RNA. RefSeq lists it as uncharacterized. Lineage: Eukaryota; Metazoa; Chordata; Actinopteri; Cyprinodontiformes; Goodeidae. The record is from RefSeq and is a predicted model, not a curated record. The transcript has 2 exons.
CCUCAUGAGCGGUAAAUGUUUUGACCCCAUUUGGGCAGAGCUGGACAGCGCAACCAACCUUGUAGCUGUUUGCCCACACAACCUGAAAGGAACAAGGAUACAGUUGGAACCAGAUAUUUAUAUAUACAGUACAAAAAGACACAUAUCCUUAUUUUUCUCCUUGACAUUGAAUCAGGUUCAACCUUUAGUGUUUUAAGUCAAUUUAGGAUUACCAAAAUCAUUCUAUCUGCAAAAUUUCAGAAAGAUAUAACAGUUCUUUUUGCCUUCAUUUAAAUUAAGAAUUUUCCAAAUAUUUGCUUAGUAUUUGGCCUUAUCAACUAUAUGACCAGACUCAAUUGUUAUGGUUAUCAUUCCAAGAACUUCUUACAAAAUAUAUAUAUUUAUAUAGCAUUUUCUAGUAUUUCAUAUCACUCAAGACCCCUAUUCACACAAUCCCACUCACACUUUGCACACAUUCAUACACCAAUAUGCAGGUCAGUAGGCAACUUGGGGUUAAGUGUCUUGCCCAGGGGCACACAGACAUGUUACAGGAGAAAGCUGGAAUUUAACCCACACGGUGAGUGGGGGACGACUACCCAUUGAGCCACAGUCACGUCCCACAGUUUAUCGAGAGCACCAGUUCCUCCUGUAGCUAAGUACUCAUGCUCCCACCUCCAUACCUUACAGUUGGACUGGUGUUUGCAGGCUUGUAAGCUUCCAAAUUUCUUUCAGAUUUAACAAAAGUCAUUAUGAACAAAUUACUCCAAAAAUAAGAUCUUUGCCUGAAGUGUAUUUGUAAACUGCUAUCUGGCCUUUUUAUGUUGCUUUUGCAGUAAUGGCUUCUUCCCCUUUGAGUGGCAUUCAGCUCAUUUUCAGCUCACUGUUGAAAAUGAUACUUUCUUUCCAGCUUUAGUCGGCAUCUUCACUGUAUUUUUUGCUUUUGUUCUAUAUGGAUGCAUGUUCGAGGUGUUAAUUCUACAUGUGUGCCCCACUUUAACUUGGUGAGAAUUAACUUAUUAGAGACAAGUAGGGGUGCACCGAUCGGCGGGCUGAUCUCCUCAUUUCCUUAAUUUCCAGAGAUCGGUGAUCAGCCGAUACUUACAUGUAUAAACGAUCUUAUCCACUGAUCUUAUCCAUUGUGCAAGUUUUGUUUCUUUUUAAAAUGUGAAAAAUUAAAGACGGAAGGAACUGCAAUGUUCUAAACCUUUCAUUUAUAUUUGAGAGCAUGUCCUCAUGUGCAGUUAAAACAAGUUUGCAUUGUUUUACAGGUAUUGUUCAAUGUUUUUCAAUAAAAUGAGAUUGGAAUUGUGUA